CUGUUGUACCUAGCUUAAAUAAGAAGUUAAUUGGCCGGUGGUCGUGAGAGAGAUUUAGAUCUCUCCGGUUGAUUGUUUAUUACAUUUUCUGUUUUCUCACCAGU
This 104-nucleotide small nucleolar RNA is filed under the name Arabidopsis thaliana (thale cress). RNAcentral's name for it is "small nucleolar RNA SnoR109-2". The record is from RNAcentral. Lineage: Eukaryota; Viridiplantae; Streptophyta; Magnoliopsida; Brassicales; Brassicaceae.